Molecule: long non-coding RNA, 1450 nt
Filed under: Homo sapiens (human)
Lineage: Eukaryota; Metazoa; Chordata; Mammalia; Primates; Hominidae
Description: HSALNT0208141
Source: RNAcentral
GCUGAUAAGUUGAAUGUUGAGAUUGUAUCUAAAUAUAGUAACCGCACUUCUUGAUCCCAAGAUUACUUUAAAAAUUUCAAGAAGUAGAUGUGUGCAAAUUCUUAGUGAUAAUUAAGAAUGAAAGUUCCAGGCUGGGCAAAGUGGCUCACACCUAUAAUCUCAGCACUUUGGGAGGCUGAGGUGGGUAGAUCACUUGAGUCCAGGAAUUUGAGACCAGCCUGGGCAACAUGGCGAGACCUUGUCUCUGCUAAAAAGUUAGCUGAGCAUGGUGGUGCUUGUCCAUAGUCCCAGCUACCUGGGAGGCUGAGGUGGGAGGAUAGCUUAAGCCCAGGAGGUUGAGGCUGCAGUGAUCCAAGAUCAUGCUGCUAUACUCCAGCCUUGGCUACAGAGCAAGAUCCUGUCUCAAAAAGGAAGUUCAUGUCAUUUUUAUGUAACAAUCCAACAUUUGACUAGAGCAGUUUAAGUGUUCUGUUGUCUGCCUUUGUGUAGAGCCUGGUUUAUCAGCCUUCAGCAGCUAGCUUGAGAGAGAAAAGAUGGAUAUACUUUCAAGCAUAAGAUUGAUUUUAGUCUUUGUGUUUCUAGGCUAAUGGGAGCUGUCCUAGAGAUAGAUACUAUAUAAAAUGAAGCCACUCAGACUUUAGGAACAUAAACUUUUAUUGUCAUCCAGCACCUGUGAUAGUUUCAUGUCUCUCUAAAGGAGACAGGAAAUUGGAGCAUUGUGGGCCCUUUUAAAAGAAAAGAGGAGUAGGUAGGCACACCCAGGUGCUUCUAAAACAACCAAGCCCAAACCUGACAUGCUCCUCCCCACAGUCACCUUCAUUGUCCCCUUUAAAAGUCUGGAACAGUAUGUAGCAAAACAAAUAAAUUACUUUUCAUUUCAAAAAGUAAGUUCAAAGGUUGAAGCUGCCUAGGCCAGGCUUCUGGACAGGUGCCUCCAAAGAAGUGAGCUUUCCUUUUCAACUUCCUUAGCUCUAGCCAGUAGACCAGAAACCCCUGCUUUCCACAUCAGGAUUCCAGAUGGUGUUUAGUUAGAUUUGGGAUCCCGUUGCUUGGGCAUCUCUCCUCCAUCUUCCAAAUCCAUUUCUGCAGCAACUGACAUACACAGGACCUGGAGGUACCUUGUGGCAGACCCUACAAAGAGAACUUUGAGUUGGAAUUGAGAAGAGGUCAGCUGGGCUGAGUUCAAGUGUCACUGAAUGGAACUCAGUGUGAGGGGAGUGAUUCCACUAAGCCGAAGGGUUCAUAAGAAGGGGCUAAGGCAAAGAUGUCUUUGGAGGCUGGAUUUACAGAAAAAGGCAAAAACCAAGCUCUGCAAUAGCUGAGCGGACUUAAGGAUGCACGGCUUACCCACGAUCCUUCGGAGGUAAAGCGGUCGCUUAUGUUCUGGCACUCUGAUGAUGAGGAAGUAAAAGGGCAGGCCUGAGAGGGCAAUGGCAAUGCCGAUGAGGGA